Molecule: long non-coding RNA, 6388 nt
Organism: Pongo pygmaeus (Bornean orangutan)
Lineage: Eukaryota; Metazoa; Chordata; Mammalia; Primates; Hominidae
Exons: 4
Source: RefSeq, a predicted model, not a curated record
AGCGUGGGCUGGGCCUGCAGCAACGGAAAGGCGCCACGCUCGUGAGGGGAACCAGCGUUCCGGGGGCGCUCAGUGUGGGCAGGCAGGAAGCCUGGCUCCACUAGGACACACAAAUUCUCUCCUGAGCAGCUGCGAACUAUGCGCCCCUUCUACCCUUAAGAGAUGGGAUGGGAGUCCAACAAACGCAGCCAUUACUCAGACCCCAGCCCUUCUCUCCUCUAAGAAGCAGGUUCACCUCUGCCACCGCACUCGCAUUUUUUUUUUAAAGCCCGGCCUUUCCUAGGCGGGGUCAAGGGCCCCGCCCACCGAAGCCACGCCCAGUAGCCGCCCCGGGGCGGGGCUCCCCUCGGCUCCCGGCUGCCCUUUCCCCUCCGGCCUCUGCCGGUGCUGCUGCGCCCCGCGGAGCUCCGAACACGUGCGCAGAGGCCGGCUGUGGCAGAUGCAACUGCAGGAUGACUUGAAAGUAGGGCAUCCUUCACCCAUCUGAAGGGAGGAAAUAGUGGCAGGUGACAGUCUGCAUGUGCAGUUUUCAGAUGCCUUCACCUGAAUGACAUCUACCUCCAUCAGGACCCCAGAUGUCUGAUAGCCCUGUGUGACACCAAGAUAAGUAAUGUGUGUAGUCUUCUUGUCAUGUAGGUCCCAAUUAAACUACUAUAGCUCACAUGGGGGUAGGGGACUUAAAAUUAUGAUUUGAAAAAUUAUGUAGAGUAUCAGACUUUUUUUUUUUUUUUUUUUUUUUUGGACGGAGUCUUGCUCAGUUGCCCGGGCUGGAGUGCAGUGGCUCGAUCUCGGCUCACUGCAACCUCUGCCUCCUGGGUUCAAGCGAUUAUCCUGCCUCAGCCUCCCGAGUAGCUGGGACUACAGGCACCUGCCACUAUGCCAGGCUAAUUUUUUUAUUUUAAGUAGAGACGAGGUUUCACCAUAUUUGCCAGGCUGGUGUGAAACUCCUGACCUUGUGAUUUGCCUGCCUCGGCCUCCCAAAAUGCUGGGAUUACAGGUUUUUUUGUUUGUUUUUUGAGACGGAGUCUCACUGUCGCCCAGGCUAGAGUGCAAUGGCGCUAUCUCGGCUCACUACAACCUCUACCUCCUGGGUUCAAGCGAUUCUCCUGCCUCGGCCUCCUGAGUAGAUGGGAUUAUAGGCUCGCACCACCACACCCAGCUAAUUUUUGUAUUUUUAGUAGAGAUGGGGUUUCACCAUGUUGGUCAGGCUGGUCUCGAACUCCUGACCUCGUGAUCUACCUGCCUUGGCCUCCUAAAGUGCUGGGAGUACAGGCAUGAGCCACCGCGCCCAGCCAAGUAUCAGAAUUUUAGAGAAUUCUUAGAAUCUAAAGUCCAUCCCUCACUUUUCUAGAGCUCUGCUGUGCAGUAGCUAUAUGCUACAUGUGGCUGUGUAAGUUGAUAAAAAUUAAUCAAUUUCUUAAUCUCAGAAUCUGUUUGGCUGCUGACUACCCUAUUGGACAACUCCAAUAUUAGAGAACAUUUCCACCAAUUCAGAAAGUUUAUUAUGCACUGCUGUUCUAGAGCAGGGAUCAGCAAACUUGCUGUAAAGAGCCAGGUAAUAUUAUGCUUGUUCAGCCAUGUGGUUUUUGCAACUAUUUUUGCAGCUCUAGUACAAACACAGGCUUAGACAAUAUCAACACAUGAGCAAGUCUAUAGUUCUAAUAGAACAUUAUUUAUAGACAUUGAAUUAGAAUUUCAUAAAAUUUUCAGUGUCAAAAUUGUUUUCAAUGAUUUACAAAUUUAAAGACCAUUCUUAUUUUGAGAGCCAUACAAAAACAGCAGGCUGGAAUUGGCCCGUAGGCUAUGGUUUGCCAACCUGUGUCCUGGAGAAUGAAAUUCAGGCCUUGAAAGUUGAACAGCUCAUUAGUGACAGGUUCAGAGCCAAUAGCAACGUGUCUUUCUGAAAAGUUUAAUGUUAUCAAUAGCUUUGCCUUAGAGCAUCAUACUCUUCAUCUUUUAGGGCACUAAGGUGACUGCAAGAAAUUAACCAGUAGUAAAAAUAGUCUGUUUUUUGUGUGUUUGGGAUUUGUUUAUGUGUUUUUUUGCAUGGGUUACUCAUAGCAGUUCUCUCCACUUUUAAUGUGCCCCAAAGGGAGAGGUCUUAAGAAAGAAUAGCAGUCUGCACUUAUCAAACUCAGCCACAAUCUCAGUCUGAGUUGGUAAAACCGAAAUGGCUCCUAAGAGGAAAAUUUUGUGUCAUGAAUAGUCACAGUAUUUUAAAUCUGAGGCCUCAAGUUCUAAGCAUACAGGUUGUCUUCCUGACUACAGUAGUGCUAUCCAUGUGCAGAGAUGUUCCUAUGUUGCUGCUUGAAAAGAGAUAAUUCAUUGGUAUUUCUGUUCCUGUGUUCAAUAUCCCAAAAGGCAUCAAUGGUGUAAUCAUGUGCAUUUAAAUAAUUUGAUGGGAUUUCCUACUUGAUAAAUAAAGUUAAUUACUCACCUACUUAUCCCUGUCAAUUUUUUUUUUUUUUUUUUUUUUAAAGCAAAGAAAUUAUUUCCUGGUGAGUCUAAGAAGAUUAGUUUUUAAAAUCUUUUUUGAUACAGGGUCUCAACUGUGUCACCCAGCCUGGGGUGCAGUGGCACAAUCACAGCUCACUGCACCCUUGACCUCCUGGGCCAAGCAAACCUCCUGCCUCAGCCUCCCAAGUAGCUGGGACUAUAGGCAUGUGCUACCAUGCCUGGCUUCAAAGUAGUUGUUUUUUUUAGAGACAGGGUCUCACUCAGGCUGGUGUGCAGUGGUGUGGUCACAGCUCACUGCAGUCUCAACUUUCUGGGCUCACGUGGUCCUCCUGACUCAGCCUCCUGAGUAGCUAGGAUUACAGGUGUCACUGUGCCUGGCCUCGAAGUAGUUUGUUUUUUGUUGUUGUUGUUGUUGUUGUUUUGAGAUGAUGUCUUGCUCUGUUGCCCAGGCUGGAGUGCAGUGGCACGAUCUCAGCUCACUGCAACCUCCGCCUCCUGGGUUCAAGCAAUUCUCCUGCCUCAGCCACCCAAGUAGCUGGGACUAUAGUCACACGCCACCAUACCUGGCUAAAUUGUUUUUGUAUUUUUAGUAGAGAUGGGGUUUUGCCAUGCCAUUUCGGCCAGGCUGGUCUCAAACUCCUUACCUCAGGUGAUCCACCCGCCUCAGCCUCCCAAAGUGCUGGGAUUACAGGUGUGAGCUACCACACCCAGCUGAAGUAGUUUUUUUCUGUUAAUCUUUUCCCAUGCUGCAAUGGAAACUUGAAUGAGACUGGCAGGGUUACUGGUCUGUAAAUACCCAGGCUGCCAGCUGCCAUAGGUAGCAGUAAACACAAGUGCCUCUUUUCAUUGCGUAGGCCAAGUUUCAGGUCUUAGGCCUGUACCAUAUUAAGAGGAAAAACUAAAAAUAAGGAGGGUUUCCAAACACCCUCACCACCAACCUUGAAUUUUUUAAAAAAUGAGGGUACCACAAUUAAUAAACACUAUUCCUGGCACCUGUCCAUGAUUUCACUUGCUGGGUUGAAACAAACUAGUGUCAGUGGGAUUUUAUGUUGAAAUUUUGGAUCAUGUCUCACUCAAAUUUCAACCAGAAAAGCAAAACCCAGAGGGAUAAAUUCUGCAAGUCCCAAAGGGAUACAAAGAGGUGGCUAAGUGCCUAGGAAUUCACACAAAGGAAAACACCAUGUUAAGAGCAACUAAUUAAGAACUUAAAAAGAGUGACAAUGACGCCUGUGAAUGUUGUUGCUUAAUUAGGGCUUUAUGAACACAGCUCCAGUUAAUGGACCUGUCAAUACACUCUUGAAAAACAAUUUCACUGAAUUAACAAAUUAACUGUAAUAACUUAAAAUCUCUGCUUAGCAACAUCUUUCUCCUUAAUGCUAUUUAGGAACACUUGUAAUGAGCCAACUUGAUGAGUCAUAAAUUUGUCAGUUUAGUAGCCUAAGGCUUGUUCAGAGGAGUCCCUGUUACUUGUUUGGCCUUCCUUGCCCUCCAGUAAAGGCCCUUUAGGGUGUAAGAAUGUUCUAUGCUGCUUCUUAAGGGUGAUAUACUAAUUGGGAAAGUACAGUAAAAAGGACUUUAAAAUUUAUUUUAUUUUACAAUACUUUUAGAUUUAUAGAAAAGUUGGGGAGAUGGUACAAAGAGUUCCCAUAUAUACCAUACCCCGUUUCCCCUAAUAACACCUUACAUUGGUAUAUUAUGGUUGUCACAAUUAAAUGGGCUAAUAUUGAUACAUUAGUAUUAACUAAAGUCCAUACUUUGUUCAGAUUUCAUUAGUUUUUAAUGUAAUGUCUUUUGUCUGUUCCAGGAUCCCGUUGAAGAUACCACAUUACACUUAGGCUCCUGUUGGCCAUGACAGCUUCUUAGACUUGUUUUUAAUGACCUUGACAGUUUUGUUUUUUUGUUUUUAUUUGAGAUGGAAUCUCUGUCAUCCAGGCUGGAGUGCAAUGUAAUGGCUCAAUCUCAGCUCACUGCAACCUCUGCCUCCCGGGUUCAAAUGAUUCUCCUGCCUCAGCCUCCCCAGUAGCUGGGAUUACAGUCACGAGCCACCGCGCCCAGCCGCCUCCUAAAUUCUUAAAACAUUCCAUUUUUAUUCUGUGGUCUUAGUUUAUUCUGUCAUGUAGAGAAUAGUGGUUGAGCCUGUUGUCUUUUGAGAGUGGAUGCUGUAGUCCUUACAUGGCUGAUUUUCACCCCGUAAGCUUAUAGUAGAGGAUGGGGAUUUUGUUAUCAGCUGCUAAAAGGGAGAAGCCAAGCCCAGAACUAAGGGUUCUGAUGAGUUGAAGGAGAGGGAAGAUGCCCCUCAAGGCAAAGAGCCUCUGAGUUAGAAUCUGUGCUUCACCAGAGUGACAAUGGUAGAACUUCUCCUUCUCAGUAUUAAUUCUCCUGGAGAGAACUCUAGGGUUGUCUAAACCUGUUCAAAUAGGCUGACUACCCCAGCAAGUCAUGGGUUGGACAUAAGGCAACGAACAGGAGGGGUGAAAGGGGGCAGAACAGACAUUCUAUCCUUUUUCUACACUGGGCUUCCAUUUCUUACCCCAACCAUGAUCUGUUCUUCCAGGUGCUAUCAUUUAAUUUCCCAGACACUUGACCUCCUUCUGAUUUGUGUACUCCCUCCAAGGCUGAGUUGCAGUGAGUGACAAUAAUCUGUGCUAAUUACUUAUCUUGCCAGAAGACUCAAAGGGUUUAUGGCUUUUAUUAACUGAACUCUAUGCUAGAUGUUAGGGAUAAAUGGUUAACAGGACACAGUUCUUGCUUAUCUUGCUAUGGUCUGUCAAGCCUUAUACAAUCUAGCCUUAUCUCUCUCACCCUCUUCUCUUUAUCACCCGUAGAUUCCCUUGCUGGCCACGCUGGUUUCUUUCAGUCCUUAAUUAGCCUUUUGUCACUACCUGUCUACACAUGCUGUUUUUCCCUUCUCAUUCCAUCUUGACAUUGUCUAUUUUGAGAUCUCAGCUCAGUUGCAGAGAAGCUGCCUUCCCCGUCUGGCAACCCAUUAUAUGUGUCAUAGUACCAUGUUGUACCAUAGAGCUAGACACAGGUGCCAUGUUGUGUCUUGAAAUGUAUUCACCAGCGUCCAAAGGUUUACCUCAAUCCCCUUUACUCAAGAAGCCUCAGUUCUACUGACAGUUGGUAAUAAUAACCUCUCUGUCAUAAUGUACCCAAAAUACAGUAAGAAUAUCAUGCUUUUCAGUAAUACUCCAGUGAGUGAGGCUAAGAGUACCAUUUUUGUUCUUGUAAAAGAAUUUUUUUGGACAUGAAUACAAAGGUGUCAGGUUACCAAAUCAUUUGCUAGUAGACCCUAACAAUAUCACCUAUAGGAAACUAAAUGUAGCCUUUAAACAUUAAGUGAUGAUAAUGGAUUUGGCCGGGCGCGGUUGCCUAUAAAAAAAAUCCAGCACUGAGAGGCUGAGGUGGGUGCAUCACUUGAGGCCAGGACAAGACCAGCAUGGCCAACAUGGUGAAACCCCAUCUCUACAAAAGAAAAAAAUACAAAAAUUAGCUGGGUGUGGUGGUGCAUGCCUGUAAUCCCAACUAUUUGGGUGGCUGAGGCACGAGAAUCACUUGAACUUGGCAGGCAGAGGUUGCAGUGAGCUGAGAUCGUGCCACUACAUUACAGCCUGGGUGACAGACCGAGACUGUCUCAAAAAAAAAAAAAAGAAAAUAAUGGAUUUGCAGAGACUUGCUAUUUAGAUUUCAGACAUCUGUUAACUAAAACACAUGUGUAGGCUUUUGUUACUUAUUUCAGUGAUCUGUAAAUAUCUUUAUAUUUGAGAAAAGUUGUGAGACAUCUUUGUGUGUAAAUUAUAACUUGCGGAACCUCUCUUACAAGCAGGCAUAUUGGUAAGUAGCUGCCAGGAUAUAACUUAUAACCAGAUUGAAGUGUAUAAUUAUAUGUUAUUAUUCUGGGGUUCUAUAAAAAAUAAAAUCUUUGAAUCUA